RNAcentral lists this long non-coding RNA (426 nucleotides) under Salmo salar (Atlantic salmon). Its description in RNAcentral is "lncRNA (ENSSSAG00000099602.1)". Lineage: Eukaryota; Metazoa; Chordata; Actinopteri; Salmoniformes; Salmonidae. The record is from RNAcentral.
GUCUUCUCCCCAGCCCUACCUGGUGCAUUUUUUCAAGAAAAGUCGCCCAGCUCACCCCCAACCCACAGCUCUUCAUCCAGGAGGUAGACCAACCCAAGCCACAGGCUCCAGCAGCCUUCAAGGCUCCAGCCCCCAUCCCAGGCCACGCCCCUACCCUUCUCUCCACCAAUGCCAGGCCUGCCCAUCUCAUCACUGACAGUGGCUAGCCAAUCAAGUUUACUCAGCUGCCUAGAUGUGUGGUCUAUAGGGCCUGCCGUGACAUCCUCAAGCCCAUACAUACCUGUCAGAUCAGAACAGGAGCCUGACCAAACCAAUGAUGUAUAUAAACCCUGGAUUGCUGAUGUUACGUAUUGGCCAAUGACAGGCUUUGAAGCCACUGGUCAGCCAUAUUGGCGCUCCUCAGAAAAGCAGUCCUCCAUAGGAAUG